CAAUAGCGUAUAUUAAAGUUGUUGCAGUUAAAAAGCUCGUAGUUGAAUUUUUGCUUGCCGCCGAUGUCGGAACUUCCGUACGUUCGGCGGCGUGCAUCCUUGGGUGGAACCUGUGUGGCAUUAGGUUGUCGUGCAGGGGAUGCUCAUCGUUUACUGUGAAAAAAUUAGAGUGUUCAAAGCAGGCUUACGCCGUUGAAUAUAUUAGCAUGGAAUAAUAAGAUAGGACCUUGGUACUAUUUUGUUGGUUUGCGCACCGAGGUAAUGAUUAGCAGGGACAGUUGGGGGUAUUCGUAUUCCAUUGUCAGAGGUGAAAUUCUUGGAUUUCUGGAAGACGAACUACUGCGAAAGCAUUUACCAAGGAUGUUUUCAUUAA
Molecule: ribosomal RNA, 373 nt
Filed under: uncultured eukaryote
Lineage: Eukaryota
Description: partial 18S ribosomal RNA
Rfam family: Eukaryotic small subunit ribosomal RNA
Source: RNAcentral